This 100-nucleotide transfer RNA is filed under the name Actinopolymorpha pittospori. Its description in RNAcentral is "tRNA-Ser". The record is from RNAcentral. Lineage: Bacteria; Bacillati; Actinomycetota; Actinomycetes; Propionibacteriales; Actinopolymorphaceae.
GGAUCGGCGAACGUGCAGGUGGCAUGAGGGUGUGCAUCCGUCUUGAAAACCGCUUGGCAGGGACCCCUCUGCCACAUGGGUUCGAAUCCCAUGCCCUCCG